CGAAAAAAAAAUUACUAAUUU
This 21-nucleotide non-coding RNA is filed under the name Caenorhabditis elegans. The record is from RNAcentral. Lineage: Eukaryota; Metazoa; Nematoda; Chromadorea; Rhabditida; Rhabditidae.